CCCCUCUCAGGGUCGCACCUGGAGAGUUUCCAGUACUCUACCAGUCUUGACUAUGGGAGGGAGAGUCAAGCGGAGGCCUACCCAUUCCCUUCCUAGCUUGGGCGAUGGCUAGUGAAUGGAAGGCAAUCUAUUACAAGU
This is a non-coding RNA of Ornithorhynchus anatinus (platypus), 138 nucleotides long. NCBI's taxonomy places the organism in Eukaryota, Metazoa, Chordata, Mammalia, Monotremata, Ornithorhynchidae. The record is from Rfam.